GCUGGGCGUGGUGGUGCACGCCUUUAAUCCCAGCAGCUUGGGAGGCUGAGGCAGGAGGAUCGCAAAUUCAAAGCCAGCCUCAGCAAUGGCAAGGCACUAAGCAACUCAGUGAGACCCUGUCUCUA
Molecule: small RNA, 125 nt
Filed under: Marmota monax (woodchuck)
Lineage: Eukaryota; Metazoa; Chordata; Mammalia; Rodentia; Sciuridae
Source: RNAcentral